This 420-nucleotide long non-coding RNA is filed under the name Anthonomus grandis grandis. RNAcentral's name for it is "uncharacterized LOC126747772". The record is from RNAcentral. Lineage: Eukaryota; Metazoa; Arthropoda; Insecta; Coleoptera; Curculionidae.
UGUAUAAUACUUUUUUCUGAGUCAAGUAGUUUCUGAGUUAUCGACACUUUUGUCUGUCCACUUGAUUCAAGGUUUUUGAAAAGUUGCAGUAACACUUUUUUGAGUAUAUCUCGGGCAUUUUUUGAGGUACUCAAAUGAGGGUUACACUCAAAGGAGCUGUGUUUAAUGGAGAAUAUUUUGAUGUAUAAUACUUUUUUCUGAGUCAAGUAGUUUCUGAGUUAUCGACGCUUUUGUCUGUCCACUUGAUUCAAGGUUUUUGAAAAGUUGCAGUAACACUUUUUUGAGUAUAUCUUGGGCAUUUUUUGAGGCACUCAAAUGAGGGUUACACUCAAAGGAGCUGUGUUUAAUGGAGAAUAUUUUGAUGUAUAAUACUUUUUUCUGAGUCAAAUAGUUUCUGAGUUAUCGACACUAUUGUCUGUC